UACGUAGGGUCCGAGCGUUGUCCGGAAUUAUUGGGCGUAAAGGGCUCGUAGGCGGUCUGUCACGUCGGGAGUGAAAACUCAGGGCUUAACCCUGAGCCUGCUUCCGAUACGGGCAGACUAGAGGUAUGCAGGGGAGAACGGAAUUCCUGGUGUAGCGGUGAAAUGCGCAGAUAUCAGGAGGAACACCGGUGGCGAAGGCGGCUUUCUGGACGACAACUGACGCUGAGACGCGAAAGCGUGGGGAGCAAACAGG
Molecule: ribosomal RNA, 253 nt
Filed under: uncultured bacterium
Lineage: Bacteria
Description: partial 16S ribosomal RNA
Rfam family: Bacterial small subunit ribosomal RNA
Source: RNAcentral